UGAGUACGAGAUGCUACGGCAUCGAAGCAGUCUAUGUCAUACUUCCAAGAAAAGCUUGCACUGUCAGAAACAGAUAAUGCCUGUACCAUAACCGACACAGGUGGGUAGGUAGAGUAUACUAAGGGGCGCGAGAUAACUCUCUCUAAGGAACUCGGCAAAAUGACUCCGUAACUUCGGGAGAAGGGGUGCCUUAUUUUUAAGGUUGCAAUAACAAGAUCCAAGCAACUGUUUACCAAAAACACAGGUCUCCGCUAAGUCGUAAGACGAUGUAUGGGGGCUGACGCCUGCCCAGUGCCAGAAGGUUAAAGAAGUCGGUUAGCAUUCGCGAAGCUGGUAACUGAAGCCCUGGUGAACGGCGGCCGUAACAAUAACGGUCCUAAGGUAGCGAAAUUCCUUGUCGGGUAAGUUCCGACCCGCACGAAAGGCGUAAUGAUUUGGAUACUGUCUCGGAGAGGGGCUCGGUGAAAUAGACUUGUCUGUGAAGAUGCGGACUACCUGCACCUGGACAGAAAGACCCUAUGAAGCUUUACUGUAACUUGAAAUUGAAAUUGGACUUUAUUUGCGCAGUAUAGGUGGGAGGCGUUGAAAAUAUUCUUGCGGGAAUAUUGGAGCCAUCAGUGAGAUACCACUCUUGUAAUGUUAGAUUUCUAACUUUAUAUCAUUAUCUGGUUAAAGAACAGUUUCAGGCGGGCAGUUUGACUGGGGCGGUCGCCUCCCAAAUGGUAACGGAGGCGCACAAAGGUUUCCUCUGAACGGGUAGAAAUCGUAUCUAGAGUGUAAAGGCAUAAGGAAGCUUGACUGUGAGACCUACAAGUCGAGCAGGGACGAAAGUCGGUCUUAGUGAUCUGACGGUGCUGAGUGGAAAGGCCGUCACUCAACGGAUAAAAGUUACUCUAGGAUAACAGGCUGAUCUCCCCCAAGAGUUCACAUCGACGGGGAGGUUUGGCACCUCGAUGUCGGCUCAUCGCAUCCUGGGGCGGUAGUACGUCCCAAGGGUUGGGCUGUUCGCCCAUGAAAGCGGUACGCGAGCUGGGUUCAGAACGUCGUGAGACAGUUCGGUCCAUAUCCGGUGUAGGCGUUAGAAUAUUGAGAGGAGCCUUCUUUAGUACGAGAGGACCGAGAAGGACAUACCUCUGGUGUACCAGUUAUCGUGCCAACGGUAAACGCUGGGUAGCUAUGUAUGGAGUGGAUAACCGCUGAAAGCAUCUAAGUGGGAAGCCCACCUCAAGAUAAGUAUUCUCAUC
Molecule: ribosomal RNA, 1244 nt
Filed under: metagenome
Description: bacterial LSU rRNA
Rfam family: Bacterial large subunit ribosomal RNA
Source: RNAcentral